AAUAAAAGAAUGACAAAUCAAAUUUUUUCUCAUGAUUUUUAGUCUUUUCCUCUUGAAAAAUUUCAAAUCUUACUAAAAAUGCUAAAAAUCAAGAGGAAAAAGUUGAUUUAUUAUUCUCCUAUU
This 123-nucleotide microRNA precursor is filed under the name Gossypium hirsutum (cotton). RNAcentral describes it as "MIR7504 microRNA precursor family". It matches the Rfam family "MIR7504 microRNA precursor family". Lineage: Eukaryota; Viridiplantae; Streptophyta; Magnoliopsida; Malvales; Malvaceae. The record is from Rfam by way of RNAcentral.